UACGGAGGAUGCAAGCGUUAUCCGGAAUGAUUGGGCGUAAAGCGUCCGCAGGUGGCUAUGUAAGUCUGCUGUUAAAGAGUGAGGCUCAACCUCAUAAAAGCAGUGGAAACUACAUGGCUAGAGUGCGUUGGGGGCAGAGGGAAUUCCUGGUGUAGCGGUGAAAUGCGUAGAGAUUGGGAAGAACAUCAGUGGCGAAAGCGCUCUACUGGACCUUAUCUGACAUUGAGGGACGAAAGCUAGGGGAGCGAAUGGG
Molecule: ribosomal RNA, 253 nt
Filed under: uncultured bacterium
Lineage: Bacteria
Description: partial 16S ribosomal RNA
Rfam family: Bacterial small subunit ribosomal RNA
Source: RNAcentral